GAUGAACGCUGGCGGCGUGCCUAAUACAUGCAAGUCGAGCGAACAGAUGAGGAGCUUGCUCCUCUGACGUUAGCGGCGGACGGGUGAGUAACACGUGGAUAACCUACCUAUAAGACUGGGAUAACUUCGGGAAACCGGAGCUAAUACCGGAUAAUAUAUUGAACCGCAUGGUUCAAUAGUGAAAGACGGUUAUGCUGUCACUUAUAGAUGGAUCCGCGCCGCAUUAGCUAGUUGGUAAGGUAACGGCUUACCAAGGCAACGAUGCGUAGCCGACCUGAGAGGGUCAGCGGCCACACUGGAACUGAGACACGGUCCAGACUCCUACGGGAGGCAGCAGUAGGGAAUCUUCCACAAUGGGCGAAAGCCUGACGGAGCAACGCCGCGGGAGUGAUGAAGGUCUUCGGAUCGUAAAACUCUGUUAUUAGGGAAGAACAAAUGUGUAAGUAACUAUGCACGUCUUGACGGUACCUAAUCAGAAAGCCACGGCUAACUACGUG
RNAcentral lists this ribosomal RNA (497 nucleotides) under uncultured bacterium. Its description in RNAcentral is "partial 16S ribosomal RNA". It matches the Rfam family "Bacterial small subunit ribosomal RNA", at positions 28 to 507 of the family's 1533-position model. The record is from RNAcentral.